Molecule: long non-coding RNA, 504 nt
Filed under: Gallus gallus (chicken)
Lineage: Eukaryota; Metazoa; Chordata; Aves; Galliformes; Phasianidae
Description: lncRNA (ENSGALG00010028970.1)
Source: RNAcentral
GGCAGGGCCUGUGUCGGAGGGUGGUCCAGCACAGUGGUGGCCUCGGGGCCCAGGCUGGAGGGGGCCUGGCACAGUUGAGGCCUCGUGUGGGCCCAGAAGGAAGGGGGCCCAGGCACAGGUAGAGCCUCGGGGCCCAGGAUGGAGGAGGACCAGGUGCAGUUGGGGCUGCACUGGGGGGGCCGGAGCUGGAGGGGGGCCUAGCAGAGUUGAGGCCUCCUCUGGGCCCAGACAAAAAGGGCCCAGGCGCAACCAGGUCCUUGGGGCCUGGGAUGAAGCAGGCCCAGGCCCAGUUGGGGCUGCUUUGGGGCCCAGGAUGGAGGAGGACCGGGCACAGUGGGGGCUGCUUUGGGGCCCAGGAUGGAGGAGGACCAGGCACAGUUGGGGCUGCUUUGGGGCCCGGGCUGGUGGGAGGCCCGGCACAGCCAGAGCCUUGUGGCUGCACUCCCUCUGUACAGUUCAACCUUGAUCCCUAACCUAAAAUGGUAACUGUAGUGAAAGGCAGUA